This 174-nucleotide long non-coding RNA is filed under the name Mustela putorius furo (domestic ferret). Its description in RNAcentral is "lncRNA (ENSMPUG00000029845.1)". Lineage: Eukaryota; Metazoa; Chordata; Mammalia; Carnivora; Mustelidae. The record is from RNAcentral.
UUCCCUGUAGGUUGCAGAUGAAUUGCAAAGUAGUGGUGAGCAGAAGAAUCUGGGGUUUGAGGCACCACACAACGUGCGAAGGCUCGUCCAGAAAGAACAGCAAAUGAUAAGGAAACCAAGCUUAAAUAAGAGAAUAAAUCAUCUAAGGAAUCACUAUCCAACGGAACUCUCAAG